This is a non-coding RNA of Anas platyrhynchos (mallard), 703 nucleotides long. Lineage: Eukaryota; Metazoa; Chordata; Aves; Anseriformes; Anatidae. The record is from RefSeq and is a predicted model, not a curated record.
CCUCCUCCACCGCCACCUCCUCGGCCGCCUCCUCGUCGGCGGCGGCGCCGGGCGGGGGCCGCCUGGCCGGGCAGCUCUGCAGGAUGGAGUCCACCUGGGGCAGCAGGCGGUGCAGGCGGCCGGCGGCCUCGCGGUUCUCGGAGCCCAGCAGGGCCAGAUAAAAUCAACCAUGACGAUCGCAGCAGAUAUACCAAGCUGAAAUCAUGGAUUUGCUGAAACAUGACUGGAGGCUUCUGCUUUGAACAGCUGUUUGGUCUGAAUAAAAUUUGCAGGAUCAGAAUUAAAAUUGUAUGGGUGUUAGAAGUAACAUUUCUCAUAUUUUAAUAAGAUGUGAUUUGAAUAAAAUGUGACAUAGUUCCAAACAGAUAACACCACAGAGAGGGGAAAAUGAAUUUAAUUUUGGUGGGAGGGAAGAAAGGAGAUGAGAGAAAGUCCACUGAGCCAUUCCUAAGUCCACAAAAGUAAGAAAAAUUGCACACGCACAAGGGUAAUGGUUGAAAGUACACUCCCCCAGUCCAGAAAAUACUUGAGCAUGUGCCUACAUCCAUUCCAGUGUGAUAGUUCCCAAGCUGAUGCUAAGUGUCACAACUAAGCUUAAGAACCUGAUUAACUCAGCCCCUUUGUAUCUCCGCUUUUCUAAUGGUUUAAACUAUGAUAACUGAGGAAAACAGAUUAGAAAUACAGGGAAAAAAAAAAAAAAAAA